AGUAAUGGCGAACGAACGGGGAUGAGCUCAUAGCCGAAUCCGGCGCCCCUUGGGCGUCUGAAAUGUGGCGUAUGGGAGGCGGAGUCCUCCGAGUGCGACCGGCGGUACAAGUCCCCAUGAGAGGGGCAUGUUACCCGGAGCGGGUGCUAGGCCCGUACCGCCGCCGGUCCGCGCGCGGAGUUGCCGUUCUCCCGGGAGUCGGGUUGCUUGGGAGUGCAGCCCUAAGUGGGUGGUAAACUCCACCUAAAGCUAAAUAAGACCGAGAGACCGAUAGCGAACAAGUACCGUGAGGGAAAGUUGAAAAGCACUUUGAAGAGAGAGUUCAAGAGUACGUGAAACCGUUCAGAGGUAAACGGGUGGGACCUCGAAGUCCGAAGGCGGUGGUGGAUUCAGCUAAGAUGUUGCCUUGCUCUAGAGCGCGUUACCCCGCGACGGGGACGCGUCCGAGGGCGACCUAGGCGGGAUCUUGGCGCACUUCCACGCCCCGUCCAGUAGGGCGUCGCGACCGGUUGGGAGGCUGUCGUAAGGGCGGACGAGAAAGGUGGCCGCCUUUCCUUCGGGAUUGGCGGUGUUACAUUCUGUCCAACUCCGACGGGUCGCCCGACCGGGGUCGAGUUCAUCUCUAAGGCGUUCCCUUCCAGACGGAAGCGGGUCUCGGGCCGAGCCUCGCGCGCGGAGCGUGCCACCUUCCAAGGUGAGCGAUUCGCGCGUGGGGUUUCGGACUCGCGGGCCCGCGGGGAGCCAGAGGUCGCGGCGAGUAGGUCGGUUACCCACCCGACCCGUCUUGAAACACGGACCAAGGAGUCUAAAGCGUGUGCGAGUUCCCGGGACUUGAUUAGGCCCGAGGGCGCAAUGAAAGUGAAGGGCGGCUUCCGCCGUCCGAGUUGGGAUCCGUCCCGCUUCGCGCGGGGCGGCGCACCAACGGCCCGUCCACUGCCGGUCUCGGUAGGGCGGAGCUAGAGCAUACGCUCUGGGACCCGAAAGAUGGUGAACUAUGCUUGGGCAGGACGAGGCCAGAGGAAACUCUGGUGGAGGUCCGUAGCGAUUCUGACGUGCAAAUCGAUCGUCGGACCUGAGUAUA
Molecule: ribosomal RNA, 1081 nt
Filed under: Stenohya hamata
Lineage: Eukaryota; Metazoa; Arthropoda; Arachnida; Pseudoscorpiones; Neobisiidae
Description: eukaryotic LSU rRNA
Rfam family: Eukaryotic large subunit ribosomal RNA
Source: RNAcentral